Molecule: ribosomal RNA, 253 nt
Filed under: uncultured bacterium
Lineage: Bacteria
Description: partial 16S ribosomal RNA
Rfam family: Bacterial small subunit ribosomal RNA
Source: RNAcentral
AACGUAGGACGCGAGCGUUAUCCGGAGUUACUGGGCGUAAAGCACGGGCAGGCGGUCUGACAAGUCUGAUGUGAAAUCUCCGGGCUUAACCGGGAGAGGCCAUUGGAAACUGACAGGCUGGAGGGCAGUAGAGGUAGGCGGAAUUCCGGGUGGAGUGGUGAAAUGCGUAGAGAUGUGGAGGAACACCGAUGGCGAAGGCAGCCCCCUGGGCUAACACUGACGCUCAUGCACGAAAGCGUGGGGAGCAAACAGG